GGCGAUGAAGGACGUGCUAAUCUGCGAAAAGCGUCGGUAAGGUGAUAUGAACCGUUAUAACCGGCGAUGUCCGAAUGGGGAAACCCAGUGUGAUUCGUCACACUAUCGUUAACUGAAUACAUAGGUUAACGAGGCGAACCGGGGGAACUGAAACAUCUAAGUACCCCGAGGAAAAGAAAUCAACCGAGAUUCCCCCAGUAGCGGCGAGCGAACGGG
This 216-nucleotide ribosomal RNA is filed under the name Klebsiella pneumoniae. RNAcentral describes it as "partial 23S ribosomal RNA". It matches the Rfam family "Bacterial large subunit ribosomal RNA", at positions 45 to 261 of the family's 2925-position model. Lineage: Bacteria; Pseudomonadati; Pseudomonadota; Gammaproteobacteria; Enterobacterales; Enterobacteriaceae. The record is from RNAcentral.